This 2492-nucleotide long non-coding RNA is filed under the name Equus asinus (donkey). Its description in RNAcentral is "lncRNA (ENSEASG00005023779.1)". The record is from RNAcentral. Lineage: Eukaryota; Metazoa; Chordata; Mammalia; Perissodactyla; Equidae.
CCGAUGCACAGGCAGCUUUGAGAAUGACUGCUGGAUAGAUCAUUGGUUUUAGGACUUCUUAGAGUCAUGGAAUCCUUUUCUUCCUGGGAAAUCUUAAACAGGAUCAAAUUUAAAAAAUAGAUCAAAAAAUGGCCCUGUCCUGGUGGAAGGAGGGGUUUCAGGCCCUCCCAUAUCCCCACAAGCAGCCCCUAAGGCCCCCAGCGGCUCCCCUGAGCACCCAGAUUUCAUUGCUUUCUGAGGUUCCUUUUGCUCUGAUGCUCCAACCUUGCAUUUGGUGCAACGGGCAGGGCGGGGUGGGGGGAGUCUCAAAGAGCUCACCUAACGCUGUCUCUCCCUCCAGCUCCCGCCCCUGCCUUAGAAGCCAGUGCCAGAGGAGUAAACAGGGACAGGAGCAGCCAGCGGCUGGCUUAGGAGGUGCGUCAGACAUGCCACAUCAGAUGCUUCUGGCUUUGUAGGCCCAUCCUGGCCCGAGGCCAAACAGCUUCAUGGGCUCUGCAGAGCGCCAGCUGGGGCUGCGUGGGCGUUGAUGAUCUGCCUGUCUACCAGCGACAGAGGGGACGGCCGCAGUGCUGCAUCAGUUGUGGCAGAGGGAGAUGCUACAGGGACACUCUGGCUGGGAGACAUGGUGGAGGAUAAAGUCAAUUUCACACUUUAUUAGUCAGUCCGGGCCAAUUGAGGCCACCCCGAAGCUGAGCUGAGGCCCCCGCUCUCCCUCCAGUCUUCACCAGCAAGAAGGGCCUCUAUCACCUGAAACUCUUCUCGUUGAAGGAGCAGUAUUUCUUUUUCUACUCGAAACCCCACAGCAUUCAAACAAGGAGCUGGGAUCCCUUUUACUCUGCAAGAGACUGCUGCAGCUGAGAGGUGGACAAAUCAGAGGGGGGAGGCGUUGAGCCAUGGCGUUUGUGUAUUCAUUUAUUCAUCCAUCAUCCCUUCAACAGACAAUGUAAUGGGAGCCUACUGUGUGCCAGCAAACGGAGCCUGGUGCUUAGUUUAAUAAAGCAUAAUGUCCUCAGGGAACCCUCAUUCCUCCACCAGCCUUUCACUGAGCACCUACCAGGUACCAGACACUGUGCCAGGCCCUGGGGAUGCAGUGUGAACAGGCAGCCACAGGCCCUGCCCUCGUGGAGCUGACUCAGUGGGAGAGUAAAAAGGUGAUUUCAACAGAGAGGGAGAAGGAUCUGAGCAGAGGUACAUCCAAGAAGAGCACCUGAACCAAGCAAGGAAGGCUUCCGUGAGGAAGUGACAUGUCACUGACACUUAAUGGAUGACUUAGCAGGGAUGAAGGAGGAGUGAGGAAGGUGGUACCACCCAGAUGAAAGAGCAAGUGCAAAGGAGGCCAGAGAGAGCCAUGUGGAAGGUUUAUCAGUCAGCGUGCAGAGUCCAGGAGGCAGAGGGAUGAACAGGGGCCAGACCAUGAAGCCAUGGUCAAGAGCCCUGGGUUCAGAUCUGUGUUUCUGAAAGCUGACCUGGUGGGGGCCUUGUGAAGAACCUAGGGAAGGCGAGAGGACCCGGAGACAGCAGAUGCAGUCGGAGGCUGUUGCAAGAUGACAGAAGAGGAAGCUGAGGCUCAGAGAAGGUGAAGAACUUCCCCAAAGUCACACCAUAGGUAAGAAGUUGGAUUCGAUCCUGCUUGGUCUGACUCCCAAGCCCACAUAGGAUGCCAUCCAGCCUCUCAAGGGUCUGGGGUCAGCAGUCCAGCAGUGAGCCGGUCUUUCUGCUGAAUCUGCUCUACUGGAGUGCCACUCAGGACCUCCUUGGUUAUGAAUGACAGUGACUCCACAUAGUGGUCCAGCACUCUGGCAUCUGACAGCCUGGGUUCAAACCACAGCUCUGCUGCUUCCAGGCUGUGUGACCUUGAGCACAUUAUUGAACUUCUCUGUUCCUCAGUUCUUCCUAACACCUUCAUAGAACCAUUGUGAUGUAACAACAUAAAUGAGAUCGUGCAUCCAAAGUGCUUGGCCCAGUGCCUGGAGCACACAAGUGCUCAAGAAAGGGUGGCUAUUAUGUUGAAGUGAAGGGGGAAUUUAUUGGUGCCUGUAAACAAACGAAGUACAGAAGGAAUGCAUGGGGCUGACCUUGGAUCACUGAACCGCAGGCCUUGAAUGCUCUCGAGCGUGUCUGUUGGUCUACCUGUGGCUCUUUCUCUUUGUCUUGUUUUGUCUCUAGCAGACUCCCCCUCCCUCCCUGUCUCUCUCUCAUUCACUCAUUCUCUAUUGCUGUCUUGUCCUUUCUCUGUCGCUCUUUCUUGUGUCUGUCUGCCCGUCUCUCUCUUUCCACUGUCCCAUUUUCUCUCUUCUCACCUUCUUUGCACAUGCCGCCUUCAUUCUCUCGGGUCCACGUUCCCAAGAUGUGGAACCAUGGGCCUCAAGUAGGCUUGCCAGCUAAAAUACAGGGCACCUAGUUAAACUUGAAUUUGAGAUAAGCCAUGAACAAUUUUUCAGCACAAGCGUGUCUCAUUUGGGAAUACUGAAGAUUAUUUCAAUUUGGCAGUG